Non-coding RNA from Python bivittatus (Burmese python), 1735 nucleotides. The record is from RefSeq and is a predicted model, not a curated record. Lineage: Eukaryota; Metazoa; Chordata; Lepidosauria; Squamata; Pythonidae.
UUCUUUAGAUUUCUGUGCUACAUCCUCUGUCGCAUGGACUACUGGGGAGUACAAGAAUAGUAGUUCAAAAUGCUUGAAGGCCAUCACAUUGAGAAAUAAUGACAUAAAACAUCAGGAAUGCUGACAUAAAACAGAAAAUCUUAACCUUUGAAAUCAGCCAAGAUCAGCUAAGUUUUGCCACUGGCUGAGACUCAUCACCCACCUUGAACAGCAACUAUGAAGGAGGAGGAAGAAGAGGAGACAUCCUAAUGUUAUGACUGAUAGACCCACUGAGUAUGAACAAAUGUAGUAGGGAGCCAGAUCUCUGCUCAGACCCAUCUGUCCUCAACCAUCUAAUAAGGCAGUCACAGUUUUGGCAAGAAUCCCCCCAACCCCAAAGGUUAUUUCAUCUUGUUUUCAUCGGAUGGACAAGAGUGCGGUUACACAGUUACAUAAAAUCCUGUGUUAUGUAAGGUGAAAAAUGGACAGGACAGUCCAGGGAUAGGUAGCAGAAAAGUGAAAUAGAAGCUGGUAGGUCUUUGGUAAGAAUGUUGACUAAUAAGUUGAAUUGUUUAUGUAUGCUGAAUGCAAACCUUUGACAGAAAAUGCUUCUAAAAAGUGCAUUUUUUUUUCCUGGACACUUUAAUGUUUUGAGAUGCUUGCAUUUAUUGUUAUAAUUUGUAAACUAUGUAAACUGACUUUUCAAACUUCUCAAUUUUUUCCUCUCCAUUUUUUUUUUGGGGGGGGGGAGUUAAGGAAUGAAUGUGUCAUACUUUUAGUUCUUCUUUGAAGAUUACAUUCAAACAUAUAUUCCUUCUAAUUUAGUAUAUGUUCCUUAUUUGGCUGCAUGGCAAAAUUAUAUUUUUGAAGUUUUCAAAGUUUCUGAUCAAUCCUAGAUAUUGUUGUCAAUGUGUGAAUGGUUGCAGAUACAAUCUAACAUUAUUUAAUGUGUGUCCCUUUAUUUUAUUCACGGUUAUUAUUAAUACUAACUUUAUAAGAAAUUACCAACUUUGCAUUUUAAAAGGAAAUGAUUAAAGAAAUUAAAUCCAAUUUAGAAAUAUCUACAGCAGAUAUUUCCCUUCUGAUUAUCCAUAUUGUUUUAAGGUAUACAAUAUUCAAUACUUGCAUCAUUUUUCAUUCAUGAUUCUGUUGAAUGUAUUUUUCUUAAAAAUAUUAAAAUUGGCCCCUUUUAAAAUUUGAGUUGUGGGGGGGAGAGAUCACUGGUUUCUAAUGAACUGCGUGGAGCAUUCUAUUUCAUUCUCGAAUUUCUUCCCUGAGUACUCUCUCAGCCUUAUAACAGGUUUCACUUCAUCUGUCCAUUUUUUAUAAAGAUGAUGUGGCUAAUUAUUUUAUCUUCCCCCUCCCCCAUUGUUAUUUUGUUAUAAAUCUUAAUAAUCUUAUAUUGUUAUAAAUCUUAGCAAUCUUAUAUUGUUUCAAUACAAGGAUAUUUGUACAGUAUUAAUCAAUGUUAUUACCUGUUAGUAGACUAUUGUUUAGAUAACAGUGUUAGAAAUAGAGAACAAAGGAAAAUAUAUUCUAUCAAUAUUAAUUACAAUUUAGAAUAUCAAUAUUACAAGCAUAAAAUUAUUUUUCAUACAAAUUUGAGUGUAUAACAUUAGAAAGGAGAAACUGCUGCAGAUUACCUCAAAAUGUUUGUUACACAAUAUAGGUUUCAGUCUUGAACUGAUUGCUUAAUACUGAACUUUCCAUUGUGUAUGUGUGUGUGUGUAUAUAUAUACACAUACAGUACACACAU